This 832-nucleotide long non-coding RNA is filed under the name Cicer arietinum (chickpea). RNAcentral's name for it is "long non-coding RNA (CARI_LNC003698)". The record is from RNAcentral. Lineage: Eukaryota; Viridiplantae; Streptophyta; Magnoliopsida; Fabales; Fabaceae.
UUUCUCAACCCUUUAUUUUCUUCAUUAUAUAUAACCUUCCUUCUAAAACCAAACAUUCCGAUUCUGUACUCAUCUCUCUCAAAUUGCUGGUUUCUUUCUCUACACGCCCGACAUCGCAAAUGGGUAAAACCCUAAUUUCCUCUUUUUUUAUUUUUUCAUUCUUUACAAUGUGCAAACGUAACAGUUACUUUGCUCAAUUUGUAUUAAUUAUCUACUGUUGUGAUGAUGAUUUAGAUUUUGACUUAAGAACCAUGUGAAGAUGCAAUUCUUUUUGUUUUCAUGUUUUAUUAUGUAAAUGCAACAAGAUAUUCAUUGUUAAGUUAUUAAAUCAAAUUUGAUCUAUUAAAUUUAGAUAAGAAUACUGGAAGUGGAAAUCAACAGAAAUUUACUAAACACAGCGGUUACAACAGCAAUGGCGAAUAUUACGAGGCAAGUUUACCGUGCUUUUUCAUUAAGUUUCACAAUAUUUGAAUUAUUUAUCAAUUUCUAUUUUUAAGAAUUCAUUAUGAGUAUUUGAAAUGUUCAAUUUUUGAAUGUUGUUUUGUGACUCACAUAUAUGAUGUCUUAUUCAGCCUUUUCAAAAUCGAGAUUGUUGUUUAGUGAUAUAUAUAUAUAUAUGUGAUGGCUUACUCCUCAAUUUUUUUAAACUAGCAGUGUAGGCCCAUUAAGCCUUUUGACCUUGACAAAUAUGAAAUUAAUGAGUCUCACGUUGGAAAUCUACAUUUGCGUGUUGAGAAAUAUGAAGGAACAACCACUAUCAACCGUAUCUCGAAGGCUAAAAAAAUUGAUGGGAAAAAUUGAUGGUAGAUCUUCAUAAUAUUGAACCCUCUUA